Molecule: long non-coding RNA, 745 nt
Organism: Daktulosphaira vitifoliae (grape phylloxera)
Lineage: Eukaryota; Metazoa; Arthropoda; Insecta; Hemiptera; Phylloxeridae
Exons: 4
Source: RefSeq, a predicted model, not a curated record
GUUGUACUUAAGUUUAAAACAUUGGAUAUAAUUGAAAUUGUUGGGGAAUUCUUUAUUUAAAUUAAUUUUUUAUUUAAGCUCAUUGUAAAUCGAUUCUUUUUGUCUAGAAAAAAAAAGAAUAAAAGUUUUUUAUAUCUUUUUAUGCAGUGCUGCUAUUCACGACACAAUCGCCUUUAAUUUACAGUUAUUUGUUAGUUUUUAGUAAGGCGGUUUUCUCUGCAAAUAGUUGGCACAAAAGUGAGGAAGGAAAGAAAAAUAAAAUAUAAAUCAAACAAAUUUUUAAUUUUUUUGUGUGUGUGUGUUCUUUGAUUUUUUGUUUUUUGGUUCUUUUUUAUGUAACUUAAGCAACCUUUUAGAGAACUGAAGAUCUAUAAUCUCCGGAAGUAAACACCCCAUGUAAAAUCUAUGAAACACUAAUCGAGUCACGAGCAGAAUACGGCCUAAUACGUUAUAAUUCACAAUGAAGCAAAAAAUAAGAGUUCACUAAGUAUGAAGUCAUAUUUGAAUUUCUUAUCAAACAUUAUGAUGAGUCAUUAAAUUCAUAAAAAAUGGCCUGGAGUGAUACAUUAUCAUACGUACAAAUAAAUUUAAGACCGCAUAUCUAAUUUUCGUCGGCUACUCAAAUAUCAGAUACUAAAGAACGAGUGAUCCGUCCUGCCGCUCUCGAAUACAAUGUAUGCCGUGGAUUCAUAUUCGUGAUGAGUAUGUUUUCUAAUGUAACAAAAACAAAAUCUCCAUGCAAAUU